Molecule: long non-coding RNA, 229 nt
Organism: Bradysia coprophila
Lineage: Eukaryota; Metazoa; Arthropoda; Insecta; Diptera; Sciaridae
Source: RefSeq, a predicted model, not a curated record
UGAUCGUUCAUACAAUAUUUCAUUCAUACAGUAGAAUGUAUGUUAAAGGUAGAGUUACGUUUUGCAUUUCAAAAGUACAUUUUUCGCAGCUUGAUGCAGAAAACGUUGUUUGCAACACGUUGCGAAAGUGGUAAUUUUUGUCACAUCACAUCUUCAUCUAGUGACAAAAACUACCACUUUUCGCAACUAUAGUUGCAUAAAUUACUAUUUCUUUGUUUGAGAAAAUCUU